This 466-nucleotide ribosomal RNA is filed under the name uncultured bacterium. RNAcentral describes it as "partial 16S ribosomal RNA". It matches the Rfam family "Bacterial small subunit ribosomal RNA", at positions 28 to 507 of the family's 1533-position model. The record is from RNAcentral.
GAUGAACGCUGGCGGCGUGCUUAACACAUGCAAGUCGAACGGAAAGGCCAGUGCUUGCACUGGUACUCGAGUGGCGAACGGGUGAGUAACACGUGGGUAAUCUGCCCUGUACUUCGGGAUAACCUUAGGAAACUGGGGCUAAUACCGGAUAGGACAACUUUUUGGAUAUUGUUGUGUAAAGCUUUUGGGGUGUGGGGUGAGCUCGCGGCCUAUAAGCGUGUUGGUGGGGUAAUGGCCUACCAAGGGGUCGACGGGUUUACGGCCUGGGAGGGUGUACGGCCACCAUGGGACUGGGGUUCGGCCCAGGCUCCGACGGGGGGCAGCAGUGGGGAAUUUUGCACAAUGGGCGCAAGCCUGAUGCAGCGACGCCGCGUUGGGGAUGAAGGCCUUCGGGUUGUAAACUCCUUUCGCUAUGGACGAAGCCUAAGUGACGGUACCUGGAUAAGAAGCCCCGGCUAACUACGUG